Molecule: long non-coding RNA, 2260 nt
Organism: Anopheles coustani
Lineage: Eukaryota; Metazoa; Arthropoda; Insecta; Diptera; Culicidae
Exons: 2
Source: RefSeq, a predicted model, not a curated record
ACUUUAGCAGGUUAGAGGUUAGGGUAGGACAUUCCAAAACGGAAAAUGAACUUCUAGCUUUUUAGGGACGGAAAAAUAACGCAGCAAUCGGGGAAAAGGAGUAGUAUUUUGUUUUUAAAAUUAUUUUUGUGUCUUUGUCCUUUUAAUUAUCGACCACAAUCACCCACCCGAGUAAGCUACUGCCACACUCUCCCAUGCAACCCUCGGGACUGCGGCCGCUUUUCGUGGACCGCAGUGUUUUAGGGUUUAGCUAUAAAUCUAGUAUUCGAUGCUGAAACCCGCAGUGUGUUUGUUGAACCACCCCAGUUAGUCUAGUAGUACGGUAGUACUAGUUCCACUCCCCCCCGAGUGCAUCGUGGAAAAUUGGAGGACAAGGGGGGAGAUUUAAACUAGGAUUUCUAACUAAAAGGUGUCAGCUCCGGCAGCUGCAUGCACGUUUUAUGGGAUGACCAAUGCAGCGAUACAAACCAAAAUACAACCAGGGCAAGAUAAUAUCGCGUUGCAAAUGCUUACAUCUAAUGAGCAUUAAGCGUGCGUGUGUGUGUAUGUGUGUGUGAGAAAGAGAGAGCGAUAGAAAGUGAGCAAUGGUACGACCAGGAAGAUUACACCAUGUCGGCCCUUAUCAUACUCUCAUUGAUGCUUCAAGAAACAGUAAAAACAACCACGAUACACAAUCUCAAAACGCAGUCAUGAUACACUACUCUCGCCAACAUCAAACACAAACCGACAUCCAAACAUACGUAUUAUUAUUAUAUUAGUAGCCCCCUAGUACACCAAAUAAUUUAGGAGAAAAGCAGCUAGUAAUUUAAAGAGGGUGUAAUAUCUCAUCACAAAACAAAAUACGUUGAAACUUACCUUAAAACCACGUAUGAUAGCAAGCAGGGCGCGCGAGAGCCAGGGCUGAUAGGGGUACCGAUAGGAGGAGCGGGCAAGUAAAAGGACAGUAGGUUAGGCAGCAGCAAUUUUACUAAUCAGAUGAGUUGGAUUGCGAACGGCGUCGCGUCUUCAAAGUGGUUUGUAAGUGGUAAACGGCGACCCGAAAGAGCGGAACACAUUACGUUUACAUAUCGAACACCCCGUGCACUGAUCGCGGCGAGAAGAGCGGCCUGCGGAGCCCUGGAGAGGAAGAACGGAACAAUGAAGCGCUCCCCCCAUCCCCCCCGAUACGUCAUGCGUGGAGAAGGAGAAGGAGAAGGAAGAGGACGGACAGGAAGCGCGGAUAUAGUGAGAUAAAACCUAGGACACAUUUUUGAAAUCAGACUCAAAGCUCUUCCGACUGACGUACGGGUGUGUACGGUGUGUACGGUGCACAACAACCGUUUGUUCGCGUGCCCCAGCAUAUGGAACCCGGAUUCACUGUAUAGGUGUUCUUCAGUUAGUUAGAAAACGCUACAACCGCAAUCGCAUGCAUCCGCAAACCUCCUACUGUCUCCCAUCCGUUGGUUGGUAGAUCCUGCGGACGAUUGGAACGUGCAGACGCAAGCAAGCAAACAAACAAAACAACAAACAACGGACGAUCCUGUCUCUCAAGAAGCCUUAGUUGAGUAAUGCGUAACUACUAAUAUUCUAAUUUCCCCGUGCUGCUUGCCAUGAAGCGAAGGCAAGCAAUAAAAAAAAGACCUGAAUAUCAACUAGCAGCUGAACUAGUAACUCUAUGUGAAAAUAAUGCGAAGCAAACACGGCAUCAUAUAUAAGAAGUUUGAAGUGAAAAAAAAACAAACACACACAGCCCUACACUUGCGCAGAAUCAUACGCGAAUGCGCAUGUGGCGGUUUUGAAAAUAGUAGGAAAAAAGUCUAAAUAUAAAUUAAUCGAGACAUAUGAUCUAAUAACUGAUGUAAAAGCAAACAGACACACAACUGACAUAAAAUGAAUCGUGCAAUGAUUUGGAAGAGGUAUUAUUAUUAUGUCUUUUGUUGUGUGAUUCCUUCCGAUAAAUCGUGCUAUAAGUAGAGAAAAAGGCCGAGCGAAAUAGUAAAGCAAGCACACAAAGAAUAAAUAAAGAAAAAAAUCCCGAAGGUAUUUAGAGAAUGAAGCAAAGUGAAUCAUUAAACAAAUAAGUUAUUUUGAAAAGUCGUGCAUCGUAAGUCAAAAGUACAUCCCCUUGACAAAUGAAAUGAGAACAAAAUUUAAAAACAAAAAGAAACAACCUAAACCACAAGUACACUUCUUCAAAAAAAAACCUAAAACACAUACACACAUACGUUCGCACUGGAUAAAUCGUUAUCUAAGCUUAUUGUCGGUAUAAAGCUAUACACAC